This 253-nucleotide ribosomal RNA is filed under the name uncultured bacterium. RNAcentral describes it as "partial 16S ribosomal RNA". It matches the Rfam family "Bacterial small subunit ribosomal RNA", at positions 524 to 776 of the family's 1533-position model. The record is from RNAcentral.
UACGAAGGGGGCUAGCGUUGCUCGGAAUCACUGGGCGUAAAGCGCACGUAGGCGGCUUUCUAAGUCAGGGGUGAAAUCCUGGAGCUCAACUCCAGAACUGCCUUUGAUACUGGAGAGCUUGAGUCCGGGAGAGGUGAGUGGAACUCCGAGUGUAGAGGUGAAAUUCGUAGAUAUUAGGAAGAACACCGGUGGCGAAGGCGGCCCACUGGAUCGGUACUGACGCUGAGGUGCGAAAGCGUGGGGAGCAAACAGG